AUACGGAGGGUGCGAGCGUUAAUCGGAAUUACUGGGCGUAAAGCGCGCGUAGGCGGUUUGGUCAGUCGGAUGUGAAAGCCCCGGGCUCAACCUGGGAACUGCAUUUGAUACUGCCGGACUGGAGUAUGGUAGAGGGAAGUGGAAUUCCACAUGUAGCGGUGAAAUGCGUAGAUAUGUGGAGGAACACCAGUGGCGAAGGCGGCUUCCUGGACCAAUACUGACGCUGAGGUGCGAAAGCGUGGGGAGCAAACAGAAUUAGAAACCCCAGUAGUCC
Molecule: ribosomal RNA, 274 nt
Filed under: uncultured bacterium
Lineage: Bacteria
Description: partial 16S ribosomal RNA
Rfam family: Bacterial small subunit ribosomal RNA
Source: RNAcentral